RNAcentral lists this ribosomal RNA (449 nucleotides) under uncultured bacterium. RNAcentral describes it as "partial 16S ribosomal RNA". It matches the Rfam family "Bacterial small subunit ribosomal RNA", at positions 338 to 795 of the family's 1533-position model. The record is from RNAcentral.
CCUACGGGGGGCUGCAGUGGGGAAUUUUGGACAAUGGGCGCACGCCUGAUCCAGCCAUUCCGCGUGAGUGAAGAAGGCCUUCGGGUUGUAAAGCUCUUUCGCAAGGGAAGAAAACUUAUCCUCUAACAUAGGAUGAGGUUGACGGUACCUUGAUAAGAAGCACCGGCUAACUCCGUGCCAGCAGCCGCGGUAAUACGUACGGAGCUAGCGUUAGUCGGAAGUACUGGGGGUAAAUUGUGAGCAAGAUGUGAAAUCCCCGAGCUCAACUUGGGAACUGCGUUUGAAACUACAAGACUAGAAUAGGUCAGAGGGGGGUAGAAUUCCACGUGUAGCAGUGAAAUGCGUAGAGAUGUGGAGGAAUAUCAAUGGCGAAGGCAGCCCCCUGGGAUCAUAUUGACGCUCAUGCACGAAAGCGUGGGGAGCAAACAGGACUAGAUACCCCAGUAGUC